AACUUUAUUCUUAUCAGGAACUUAUGAAAAAGGUACAUGAAUCCUUUUAAUUUAAACAUUGCAAAUUAUGUGUUUAUUGGCUUAUGACAUGGCAAAAAGACGCAAAAACUUAAUGAGAACAAUUAACACCCUUAAUGGAAUAACAACUAAAAUCCUCACGACUGCAAUUUUAAGUGAGCUGAAUGGCUGAAUCAUAUGCAACCCCAGCUCUCCAAUCACCUGGAAUAGCAUUUGUUGCCUGUACCCAUUUGAGCCCUGCACUUCCACUCACUUGGAACCUCAUGGUAAGGUAACCCUUUGGUGGGUUAGCCAUGUCAAAAACUGCUCCAUAGGCCCUUCUCAUGCCUAUCCAUUCCUUGCAAUCUUCCUGCCAUAUUUCAACGGCUACAAUAUCAUUUUGGCCUCCUUGGUAGAGAAUAACAAUGGCCAAGUAAUCAGGAAACCUGCUAUGCUCAUGGAUCUUGAACAUGAUGUUGUAACCGGCGUACCGGCAAGAAAUCCUCCGGUAUUCUACAUUGACGACACCAUAUGCAAAUAAUUCUAAGGCCAUGUUUGGACGUGCCAAUCUUGCAUAAGCACUUGUGCUAAGGAUGAAGUCGGUGUUGUCACCUUCACCAUAGUCAGUCACCACUACAUUCACUCCGUCGUCACUGCAAAGUUGUGGUGCCUUGCACCUAACCUGAUAACAAGCACCACAGCCAGUGCCAUUCUUGUACAACCUGGAAACUCCAGCCACAUUAGCAUCAUUGACCUUCCUUCCAUAUUCUCCAAACCCACAAGCUCCAGUUGGUGUCCCUAAGCAAUCAGGGCUACCAUAGUAAGUUGCCCUAGAGUAUGUGAAGUCUUGGGAGUAACAUAUUGCAGGUAGUAUCACCAAGAAACAGACAAGGCAAUAACCAUAGUUAGACCCCAUAGCUUAAAGGGAAGAAGUAAUAUUAAUAGCAAACUAAGCUGAGGAAGAAGAAAUGAAAAUGAGAAAUGGUACUUAUGGGAUAGGCCCCCGCCAUUCUUGUACAACCUGG
Molecule: unclassified non-coding RNA, 1022 nt
Filed under: Hevea brasiliensis (rubber tree)
Lineage: Eukaryota; Viridiplantae; Streptophyta; Magnoliopsida; Malpighiales; Euphorbiaceae
Source: RNAcentral